This is a long non-coding RNA of Myodes glareolus (Bank vole), 861 nucleotides long. RefSeq lists it as uncharacterized. The record is from RefSeq and is a predicted model, not a curated record. NCBI's taxonomy places the organism in Eukaryota, Metazoa, Chordata, Mammalia, Rodentia, Cricetidae.
AUGACUGUGAGCUGCCACGUGGAUGCCGGAAUCAAACCCAGGUCUUCUUCGGCCCUGGUGCGCUCUCCCCAGCCCUGGCAUCCUCUUUCGCUGCCCCUCACCGACCUACCAUAGAUGCUAUCUCGGAACACCUUGCUGGCUGCAUGGGUGGACGCCGCUAGAGCCAGAUGUGCCUGUUUGCCUCACUCUCUGAAGACCAUUGCCCUUUAAGUUCCCGGACUUAGGAAAUCUGGCACUGCUACUAAAACCAACUGUGACCAAGGAACGCACAGAAGAAUGCAUGAGGCGGAUGUGGGGGAGCCCAAAGACUAGGGAAGGGAGCUGAGUCACCAGGCCUCAGGACCCCUACAGGGAUGUGGGCUGUCCGUUGUUUUCUAAGGGCCUGGUACCCGCUCUGUUUGCCUCUUCUGUCUGCAGCCAUCCUGAGCUGACAGCCCUGGUGGUCUUGUCUGUGGUCUCAACCUAGCCAAGUCUACAUACAGCCCACCAGGAUCUCAGCCUCCCUAGGCAACAGGAGAGUGGGCACAGCCACUGGGGCAUGUUUCCUGGGCUUCUCCUGCUCCAACUAUGGGAUGGCAGGCCUGAGAGCAGCCAUCCUCCUGCUCCCGGCCUUAUGUGGGAGACCCUGUGGCCGCCUGACUUCACAGUAGCAGGUCUGUCCUUCGCUGGGUCUGAAUAUCUGGCACAAACAACAUGGCCGGGCAUGGGGGGCUUAGAUUUAUUUCAGCUCUCAGUUUCUCGUUUCAGCUUGUGACUUCUUGUCCCCACUGGGGAUGUGUAGGAGACUGUGACAGUGGAAGGUCGGGGUGACCAGAGGCACUUCUUGUCCAGUGACAGACAGGAAGUAGGGAGACAGAAAGG